Astatotilapia calliptera (eastern happy) is the source of this 1978-nucleotide long non-coding RNA. Lineage: Eukaryota; Metazoa; Chordata; Actinopteri; Cichliformes; Cichlidae. The record is from Ensembl.
AUUGUUGCGUUACAGCUGAGUUCAGCCCUGACAUGUUAUCAGCCUGUGAUAUUUACUUUCACACUCUUCCCACAUUUUUCACUUUUAUUUGUUACCUGUGGCUACAGGGCAUGUUCACAGGGUGAAGUCUGAACCUGCUGGCUGAAGCAAACAUCCCGACUUUUACAGUGGAAACUCUGCAAUAGACAAGCGCACAUUACAAGCACAGUGCUGACUUUUACACAUUUUUAUUUUGUGCAGCAAAACAUUAGCGUAUGAAAAUAUAUCAUUUAGUUUUUAUUACAAAUGAAUUGAUUAAAGUAAAGCAGACCAAGUGAAAUGCAAAGCAAACAACCUCACUGAGCCAAAUCGUAUUUACAGUCAGGAUACAAAGUAAUACUGUUCACGGUCUCAUCAUAAAGCAUUGUAGCACAUCUCAGAGCUCAGCGGGAAAUCCUUCUGGAAACAGCUGUCUUCUACAGGAUACACCUGGGGAUAGUCUGUGGGAGCAAAGUAAGGUGCGCAUUCUGGGGUGGGGGGGCUCUCCUGCUGGCCUGACCAACAGUGUGGCAAGCUGUAAUAUUCCUGGGGGCCACAGUGCUGAUAGUGGUAUUGCUGUGGGCUGAAGCUUGACUCCAUUCUGGUGGGCGAGUCAUAGCAUGAGGAGGAGGAGGAGGAAGAGAAGGAGUCCUGUGGGGAAUAAGUGUUGGGAUCCACAGGGUUGCAGAAAGUCAGUGACUCCAAUGAGGAGCAAGGGGCCUGAAAGAGAGGAGGACAUCGAAAUUACUUUGGGCAGGACUGCAGGUGUGCCACAUGGUGGUCAUCCAACCAAAGCUAGGCCCAGGGCUCACCAGGAACACUUGGAAAAAUGCAAGAAAAUGAUUUCCUGAAGAAAAUCCGAGGUGAAACUCACCGGACAUGAUGGCUGGGAUGGAGAGAUGAUUCCUGGAGAAGAGCUGAGGGACUCAACAAUGUCCUUUUCUGCCUCAGCAAAAUGGCCAAGAACGAAAUUUCUGCAAAAGUCUCCAAAAAUAGCAACACAAAUGUCUUACAGCAGAGCCAGAGCAUACAGAAUGAUUGUAAUAGAGCUGGGGACAUAUUAGUUUGAGAUUUUCUCCCUCCAUUCCCUCUAUUUAAAACCCCUAGAACUCAAUGAUUUGACAAUGAUUUGAUUGCGCGUUACUUACCAUUUGAAUAUUCAGAGGCAACUCUCUCAAAUCGAUUUUCAGUAAAAUCACUAAGCAUGAACACUGUAUCAAAUCCACUUUAAUCUCAUAUAUUAGUAUUUUACACUUUAACCUCGAAAAAAAUGCACUUUUAUUCAUUUUACCCUCCUUUUGCACUAUCCCAGCAUCAGCCCCCUUCACUUAGCACUGCAGCACCCACGACUGCUUCCGUGCAACCUUAAGAGCGCAUUUCACCUCAAACCUCGCGUUUAGCCUAGUCACGCAUUUUAAAAAGUUUAUUUCAUAAAAAAUACAUUAAAAGUGGCAAAGAGGGAAAGUGGGUGUGGCAAGGGCCAACAGCCCUCGUUGGCAUGGCAGGGCCUCCAGCUCCAUCAGAGUGCUCACACCUGCUGGGAGAACAGGGAGAGAGGCUCAGCAGCUUCACGCACAGUUCUGUCCUUGUCUUGGUUAUAUUUUCAUGAAAAUAAAAAUGCGUUUCAGGAUCAAAGGUUUCCGGUAAAGUGUGCCGUUUAAGAACCGGCCUUUGAAAUGUUUAACUCCCCCAGCAUUAUGAUUUAUGAUCAUUAUGAUCAAAAACGGUUAUUAUUUUAGAUUUUCUAUCAAAUCUGUGUUGAAAUCGAGUAAAUAAAUAAAUAAAUGAAUAAAUAACGAAACUAAAAACAAACAUUGCAGCUCCUUCUUUGCACUGAAGUCCCUUACACUACACUUCGAGUGUAUUUUAUUUCUCAGACUGUUUGUGGUGCGAAGGUCAGAAGAUAAAAUGAACUCAACUAUAUCAACGUUACAUUCAUCACACUUGGAUAAAUGCAUCC